GACGAACGCUGGCGGCGUGCUUAACACAUGCAAGUCGAACGGACAGGCCCUGCUUUUGUGGGGUGCUCGAGUGGCGAACGGGUGAGUAACACGUGAGUAACCUGCCCUUGACUUUGGGAUAACUUCAGGAAACUGGGGCUAAUACCGGAUAGGAGCUCCUGCUGCAUGGUGGGGGUUGGAAAGUUUCGGCGGUUGGGGAUGGACUCGCGGCUUAUCAGCUUGUUGGUGGGGUAGUGGCUUACCAAGGCUUUGACGGAUAGCCGGCCUGAGAGGGUGACCGGCCACAUUGGGACUGAGAUACGGCCCAGACUCCUACGGGAGGCAGCAGUGGGGAAUAUUGCACAAUGGGCGGGAGCCUGAUGCAGCAACGCCGCGUGCGGGAUGACGGCCUUCGGGUUGUAAACCGCAUUCGCCUGUGACGAAGCGUGAGUGACGGUAAUGGGUAAAGAAGCACCGGCUAACUACGUG
RNAcentral lists this ribosomal RNA (468 nucleotides) under uncultured bacterium. Its description in RNAcentral is "partial 16S ribosomal RNA". It matches the Rfam family "Bacterial small subunit ribosomal RNA", at positions 28 to 507 of the family's 1533-position model. The record is from RNAcentral.